This 223-nucleotide ribosomal RNA is filed under the name uncultured bacterium. RNAcentral's name for it is "partial 16S ribosomal RNA". It matches the Rfam family "Bacterial small subunit ribosomal RNA", at positions 1279 to 1500 of the family's 1533-position model. The record is from RNAcentral.
CGAACAGUCUCAGUUCGGAUUGAGGGCGUGAAAUUCGCCUUCCAUGAAGCCGGAAUUGCUAGUAAUGGCAGGUCAGCAUACUGCCGUGAAUACGUUCCCGGGCCUUGUACACACCGCCCGUCACACCAUGAGAGUUGGGAAUACCCGAAGCCUGUGAGCUAACUUUUAGAGGCAGCAGUCGAAGGUAGAAUCAAUGAUUGGGGUGAAGUCGUAACAAGGUAUC